GACGAACGCUGGCGGCGUGCUUAACACAUGCAAGUCGAACGGAAAGGCCCUGCUUUUGUGGGGUGCUCGAGUGGCGAACGGGUGAGUAACACGUGAGUAACCUGCCCUUGACUUUGGGAUAACUUCAGGAAACUGGGGCUAAUAUCGGAUAGGAGCUCCUGAUGCAUGGGGGGGGUUGGAAAGUUUCGGCGGUUGGGGAUGUAUUCGCGGCUUAUCAGCUUGUUUGUGGGGUAGUGGCUUACCAAGGGUUUGAAGGGUAGCCGGCCUGGGAGGGUUGCCGGCCACAUUGGGCCUGAGAUAGGGCCCAGACUCGUACGGGAGGCAGCAGGGGAGAAUCUUGCACAAUGGGCGGGAGCCUGAUGCAGCAACCUCGCGUGCGGGAUGCCGGCCUACGGGUUGUAAACCGCUUUCGCCUGUACCGAAGAGUGAGUGACGGUAAUGGGUAAAGAAGCACCGGCUAACUACGUG
RNAcentral lists this ribosomal RNA (468 nucleotides) under uncultured bacterium. RNAcentral's name for it is "partial 16S ribosomal RNA". It matches the Rfam family "Bacterial small subunit ribosomal RNA", at positions 28 to 507 of the family's 1533-position model. The record is from RNAcentral.